GGGGAGCUCGGAGACCCAAAGGUUCGACGGGGCGGCCGGCGUCCAGGCGCGAGCGGCUCUGGGCUGGGACCGAGACCGGGCACCGGCGUCCCGCGGGGCGGGGGUGGGGGAUUGGGCAGAGGAGCAGGAGAUUCCGAGCCAGACCGGCCUGUGUCUGUCUCGUCCCUCCCCGUUUUCCGCGCCGGCGUCGGGCCCAGGGUGACGGCAGCCCGGCCAACGGGGUCAGCGCCAAGCAGCUGGCGGCGGCCGCGGGCGGUUCUUGGAAAGCGCGAGAGGCUGGGCCUGGCCGCCGUAUUUGCUCCGACACCGCCCCCCGCCCCCCCAGCUCGUCACCCCGCCUGCGUGCGCCCGGCCCCCAGACCCUGCCUGGGACGCCCCCCAACUAACUCCCUGCUGGGACGGGACCCCACAGCCCUGGGGAGUGUCGGGCCCCUUGGAUCAGAGCGCGAGUCCCCGCGGCCGCCCCCAGGACGGAAGAGCGAGGGGGGCCCGGGGGCAGACACAGGAGUCCCCGCCCCGUCGGACCCGGGCCUGGGGGGCGGGAGGCGGCCGUGCCCGCGCCUGGAGGGUGUCCUGGCCCGAAGGCCGCAGUCCGGGCGGGAGUCUGGACCCGAGAGCCUGGGG
This 624-nucleotide long non-coding RNA is filed under the name Homo sapiens (human). Its description in RNAcentral is "HSALNT0000478". The record is from RNAcentral. Lineage: Eukaryota; Metazoa; Chordata; Mammalia; Primates; Hominidae.